AGAGUUUGAUCAUGGCUCAGGAUGAACGCUAGCGGCAGGCCUAACACAUGCAAGUCGAGGGGUAGAGUUCUUCGGGACUUGAGACCGGCGCACGGGUGCGUAACGCGUAUGCAAUCUACCUUAUACAGGGGAAUAGCCCAGAGAAAUUUGGAUUAAUGCCCCAUAGUGUUAUCGAAUCGCAUGGUUUGAUAACUAAAGUUCCAACGGUAUAAGAUGAGCAUGCGUCCCAUUAGUUAGUUGGUAAGGUAACGGCUUACCAAGACAAUGAUGGGUAGGGGUCCUGAGAGGGAGAUCCCCCACACUGGUACUGAGACACGGACCAGACUCCUACGGGAGGCAGCAGUGAGGAAUAUUGGUCAAUGGGCGCAAGCCUGAACCAGCCAUGCCGCGUGCAGGAAGACGGUCCUAUGGAUUGUAAACUGCUUUUAUACAGGAAGAAACCCUCCCACGUGUGGGAGCUUGACGGUACUGUAGGAAUAAGGAUCGGCUAACUCCGUGUC
RNAcentral lists this ribosomal RNA (500 nucleotides) under uncultured bacterium. RNAcentral's name for it is "bacterial SSU rRNA". It matches the Rfam family "Bacterial small subunit ribosomal RNA", at positions 8 to 509 of the family's 1533-position model. The record is from RNAcentral.